RNAcentral lists this unclassified non-coding RNA (301 nucleotides) under fungal sp. RNAcentral's name for it is "partial internal transcribed spacer region". The stretch from base 1 to 46 matches the Rfam family "Eukaryotic small subunit ribosomal RNA", at positions 1786 to 1831 of the family's 1831-position model. Lineage: Eukaryota; Fungi. The record is from RNAcentral.
AAGUCGUAACAAGGUUUCCGUAGGUGAACCUGCGGAAGGAUCAUCAAUGAAUUUUCCAAAUAUAUAAAAAUUCGCCUUAGACUUUUUAUGUCUUUUUUGGCUGAAUUAUGUAUUAGUACUUUUCCACUAGAAAUGUACUAUGACACUUUUUUUUAACCAGUUUAAGUGUGUUUGAAAAAUAAAAACUUGGUAUUAAAAAAAAAAAAAACAACAACAACACAAUUCACCAGAAACUGCGGCAAGUCUGGUAAAACUUUAUUUACAAUAAUACAACUUUCGGCAACGGAUCUCUCGGCUCUCC